This 353-nucleotide unclassified non-coding RNA is filed under the name soil metagenome. RNAcentral's name for it is "partial contains 5.8S ribosomal RNA, internal transcribed spacer 2, and large subunit ribosomal RNA". The stretch from base 1 to 120 matches the Rfam family "5.8S ribosomal RNA", at positions 35 to 154 of the family's 154-position model. The record is from RNAcentral.
GAUGAAGAACGCAGCGAAAUGCGAUAAGUAGUGUGAAUUGCAGAAUUCAGUGAAUCAUCGAAUCUUUGAACGCACAUUGCGCCUCCUGGCAUUCCGGGAGGCAUGCCUGUUCGAGCGUCAUUAAAAUCACUCAAGCGUAGGUUUGCCUAUUGCUUGGUCUUGAAGAUGGAAGCUAAGUAAUUAGAAUCCUCUUCGAAAUCCAAUGGCGAAGACCCUUGCUCUCCCAAGUGUAGUAAUAACUUAUUCACUGAAGGAAGCUAGUAAUCUUCUGCCGUAACCCCCAUAUUUUCUAUGAUUGACCUCGGAUCAGGUAGGGAUACCCGCUGAACUUAAGCAUAUCAAUAAGCGGAGGA